AGCUUUGUGCAGUGGCAAUAUUGUAGCCAGUGAGGUUUGUCCGAGGCGCGAUUAUUGCUAAUUGAAAACUUUUCCCUGCCGUGAUGACUUGAAAUAUAGUCGGCAUUGGCAAUUUUUGACAGUCUCUAUGGAUA
Echinops telfairi (small Madagascar hedgehog) is the source of this 134-nucleotide small nuclear RNA. RefSeq annotates it as U4 spliceosomal RNA. The record is from RefSeq and is a predicted model, not a curated record. NCBI's taxonomy places the organism in Eukaryota, Metazoa, Chordata, Mammalia, Afrosoricida, Tenrecidae. The transcript has a single exon.